AAUAAGAAAAUGAACUAAUUGUAUAGCUUUUAGAACAAAAUACAGCUCAGGAAUACAAAAAACCAAGCAUAUAUCCUGGAUAAAAUUCAUAAACCUGCUCAAUGAGAGAAAAGUUGGACACAAAAUUGUACUUUAUGUAUUUAUAUAUUUUAUUAUUUCAGGCAAAACAAUCCUAUGGUGAAAGAAAUCAAUGCAGAGAUAAUCUCUGCUUGAGAAAAAAAAUUACCUGGGACAAAAGACAAGUGAAUUUCUGAGGAUGAAAAUAUUGCUUUGAAGGGGUGAAGUUUAUACGGGUCUACUUAUUUGUCUGAAAUGUACAGUUAAAGUUUAUGCCUUGCAAUGUAUGUACAUCUUCACAAAAAAAAUCUUAAAAAAAUUAAGUGAGUUGGGUUGGUAAAGGGUUGAAGUAUAGAUGAAGCAGAAGUGGUACAUGAUUAGUAGUUGAAGCUGGGGGCAGGUCUAUAUAUUUUAUUUUUAUGUCUUUAAUAGCAUUUGUAUAAAUGUACAAUAUUCAUUUACACUGUUACCUCAGGAUCUUGUUUACCUUUGGACAGGGAGGGAGGGAGAAAUUUAUUUUCUGGGUAGGAGUAAAGCUGGUUCUAUUCCUCAGUUAUGUAAAUUAUCUGUUAUAAUCCAAACAGCUUUACAUGAAUGUUUCUGUAUGUAAUGUGGUAUAUCAAUAAAAAAUUAAAUAUUACAUAUUUGCACCAGAAUCCUAACUCACUAUCUCAGAAUGUUAGCAGCAUUUUCUUUUGUUGUAAAGUGGAACACAAUCUCAUGGCAUUAGCAGAUGGGUUUGAAUAUUCUAAAGUAUCAACGUCCUAAUCUCAUGGGCACCUCUUGGGUCUUUCCAUUUUUGCCUUCAUUUGCUAAGUGGCAUGCUUUUGAUUUUUUGAGAUGAAACUUUUUCCCAGCAAAGUCUUUUCCCCACAGUGAUGCUCUGAAAGCCAGGACACCUAGCACAGGACCCUGGGCAUAGUAUGCACUCAGUACAUGUGGAGCAUGUUGAUCAGGAACAAAAGGAGUAGCAAAGGUCAGUUCCUGCAAAGGUGAGUAGAUAAUACAGGUAUGACUGAAAGGCUGCAACUCAGGAGUAAACAUUUUACAUUCAUUCAAGAGACAAUUUGCAACUAGUACACCAAAAAAUUUUGGCUUGAAGCAGUACUUUGGGGACUUGGCUAAACUCUGUAAUCACUUGGAGAACUUUAAACAAUACUGACGUCUGGGCCCUACUCCAGGGAUUUUGAUUUUAUUGGUCUGUUGCAAUUUAGGUUUUGGGAAUUGUAGGGCCUCCGCAUGUGACUGUAAUGUGGAGCCAGGGGUGAGACCCACUGUUUCAGGGUGAGGGAUGCAUUAGCUGUGUGUGAUUUCCAUGUGUGCUGCAAGUAUUUAACCUAUGACCACUCCUGCAUUUGGAGUCUUGGAAAUUGCAGCAGGAGGAAAUGUCUCUCUACAGAUCUAUUUUUUAUGUCACUUGCUUUUAGAGUAAGAGGUU
This 1495-nucleotide long non-coding RNA is filed under the name Homo sapiens (human). RNAcentral describes it as "HSALNT0229938". Lineage: Eukaryota; Metazoa; Chordata; Mammalia; Primates; Hominidae. The record is from RNAcentral.